CCUACGGGUGGCUGCAGUGGGGAAUAUUGGACAAUGGGCGAAAGCCUGAUCCAGCCAUGCCGCGUGUGUGAAGAAGGCCUUCGGGUUGUAAAGCACUUUCAGUGGGGAAGAAAGCCUUGGGGCUAAUACCCUCGAGGAAGGACAUCACCCACAGAAGAAGCACCGGCUAACUCCGUGCCAGCAGCCGCGGUAAUACGGAGGGUGCGAGCGUUAAUCGGAAUUACUGGGCGUAAAGCGCGCGUAGGCGGUCUGAUAAGCCGGUUGUGAAAGCCCCGGGCUCAACCUGGGAACGGCAUCCGGAACUGUCAGGCUAGAGUGCAGGAGAGGAAGGUAGAAUUCCCGGUGUAGCGGUGAAAUGCGUAGAGAUCGGGAGGAAUACCAGUGGCGAAGGCGGUCUUCUGGACUGACACUGACGCUGAGGUGCGAAAGCGUGGGUAGCAAACAGGAUUAGAUACCCUAGUAGUC
This 465-nucleotide ribosomal RNA is filed under the name Vreelandella stevensii. RNAcentral describes it as "partial 16S ribosomal RNA". It matches the Rfam family "Bacterial small subunit ribosomal RNA", at positions 338 to 795 of the family's 1533-position model. The record is from RNAcentral. Lineage: Bacteria; Pseudomonadati; Pseudomonadota; Gammaproteobacteria; Oceanospirillales; Halomonadaceae.